Molecule: long non-coding RNA, 2866 nt
Organism: Prionailurus viverrinus (fishing cat)
Lineage: Eukaryota; Metazoa; Chordata; Mammalia; Carnivora; Felidae
Exons: 4
Source: RefSeq, a predicted model, not a curated record
UUUAAAGGAGUUUCAGGAGAGAGCAGAGACAAAUGCCUCUGUUUGAUCUGCCGUCUCUAAUCAGAAACCCCGGCUCUUCUUUUUUCAUUAUAUUUCAUUCUUUUUGAUAUUUCCCAGGACUUUUUGGUCAUUUUAAUCACAGCUGUUUUGUCGUCCCUAUCUCCUGGAUCUGUCCUACGAGGUUGUGGCUGGGCGGGGGGGAAAGGGGUGGUCCAAACCUACUGUUGGUGUUAUCACUUAUUCUCUCCCAUGACUUCUGUUGUUUUGUAAUUUUUUUCUUUGUGAGCUCAUCUGCAGGGACCUUUGUCAGUGUGGACCCUGGCAGCCUGGGUUGAGGUCAAGGCCCUCUGCUCCGAACACCCCACCGCAGCGCAGCGAUAGAGGCCUGUGAAUGUCCAGGCAACGAGACGGAACUGCCACGCGUUUCACCUCAUUGGUGAUGUUGCCAAAGGCCACGGAAAAGCUGAGUCAGGGUUCCUGUGGUAGUCCUGCUGUUUGGAGCAGGAGAGCCUCGGAGAACAUUCGAGACCCGUCCUGGGCUGGACUCAACCUACCGUGGGUACCGUCUGAGGUCCAGCCAGGCCGCCUCGGCAUCUUGCCCCCCAGCCACGCACGUCUUCACGAGCUCCCUCUGGCCCUUCCUUUGACCUUGUUGUUUCCACCCCUCACCGGCUGCGCCGUGGCCGCCUGCUUGCUGUCUGGCCUCCCCCAUCAGACUUGCACUCCCUGGGCCAGGCCCGUUUGUUUUCUCUCUCUGUCUCCAGCAUCCUCACGGUAACAGCGCAGACACGCGAGGCGUUUGGCUGUUAGCAGCGCGGGGGCGGGGGCUCGUCUGUUGCAUCCGGCGCGGGCGGAGCAGGAGGCCAAGAAUUCGGCGCUGAGUGAGUGAAUGAAUGAGUGAGUGCUCGCUCGACACCACUUGGCACUGGCUUAUGAAUGAAAUCGUUCACCUGGGCCGUGAACUGUUUUCUCCAUCGAUUCUCCAUCUAUUUCCCACCUUCGGAUGUCUAUGGUCUUCGUGAGAUGCACGUUCAUGGGUACAACCAGACACCGAGAACCGACCCUGCCCUAAUUUGGGGUCCCUUGAAAGCAGAGCUUGAGUUGAGUGACCCCAGGAGGCAGGGAAGCAGGGGUCGGAGGAGGAACCAUGUGGCUCUCCCGUCCUGCCGUAGGCAAAGGAGGGACUUAGUCAACCAGGAACUCUGGAAGCCAACGGAAUGCCUCCCAGAAUUGUCACCCAGAAGACGGGAGGUGGGAGCGGCUGUCCACCGGUUCCUGUCUUCCAUUGCAGAAGCUGCAGGAUGGUUGGAUUCAUUCCAUUUAUGGCCGUGACCAACGGUGCCACUGGGAAUGUUCCAGGUCACGACCAACGGCGCCUCUGAGAAUAUUCCAGGUCACGCCCUUUGGUGGACGCACGGAGGCAGUUCUGUCGGGUCUCUGCCCCGGGGCAGGGGUGCUGGCUCAGAGAACAGGGCACGUGUAGGUUGAGUAGACCCAGCACACGCUUCCCAAGAUGGUUUUGCCAAUUCACAUUUUUCCUCUGGCUGUAAGGGGUUCCGGUUGCUCCCCACGUCCGCCAGCACUCGAUUCUGUCAGCCUCCUUCACUUGAGCCGUGCUGGUGGUCCUCAUUUGUGUUUCCCCUGAUGAGUCAGGACGCUGAGCACCUCUUCACGCAUCUGCGGGUCCUUCGGAUAUUCCCUCGGGAAGUGCUUUCAUGGAACUACUCCUCUCCCCUCCAAUUUUUUCUGGAGUUGCCCGCCGAUUAUCGAUCUCAAAGGCCAAUCCGCCCGGCCCCGCAAACUCAAAGCCACAGUGCUCGGGCCACGUUUGUACUGUCAGCUGGUGACAGGGCUUCAAACCAAAGACGGAAUGCGUCACAUAAAAUUAAUCCGAUUUGAAUCGAUUCUGUAUUCGAUUGACCAAUUCGUCUUGGUGUUAUGGCUGGCUAAGAGCUACGGGGAAUUUGUGCCUCGCUUUAUGUUCGUGCUGGUUUAAGGAACACCACAGUGAAAAUGAUUCAGGGCAACAACAAACACACCUCCAAUCUGGUAACCCCCCCCCUUCCCGCCCCCCGCCCCUGCUUAAUGCAUCUCUGAGGACCCCUUCUGUCGGAAGGUGGAGGUGAGCCUCCUCAGCCUGGAGCUCUGGCCCCCCAGGCUUGCCUCCCAUGUGCACCUGCCCCCGCGGUGAAGCGUGGCCUCUUUCUGGACUCUGAUCUCUCACAGCCCAGGGUCUGUCUACACAGGCCCCCGGUUCUUGCGCCCCCUGUUUUGGAGCAGUCACUACCCGGGCCCCCCCCUUCUUGGCUUAGAGUGAAUUCCCCGCUCCUCCGACCCUCCACCUAAUUAUCACUCCUCAGGGAGUCCCUCACUAUGGCCCUGAAGCACACCGGCCCAGCUGAGCCUUGUCCUUCGUGGCAUAAUCUUAAAAUCUGCAUCAUCUCACAAUCUAUCCAUAAUCUGCCUAAUGUCACGAUCCGCAAUUUUCGAUGUAUUUGUGGCAUUCUUUUCCCCUCGGAUCGCAAGUUCCACGAAGGCAAGAAUGCUAUCUUUUUCUCUAGUGUCUGUGCCGGAGAAGACAAUGGAUGUUUGUCGAAUGACUUAAUGACCUGAGCUGUGUAACCCUCUCACUAUAUUGAUGCUGCAAGGCGGGGAGGGCCCAAGGUCACGUGCAGGGAAGGCCCGGGGCCUGCCCGUCCGGUCACAUGGGAUGUGAAAGAAAGUCCUCUUUGGGCAGCGACAUAGGGGCCAUCCCCAUCCUUGAGGAUAAUCUAGUCCAGGGGCGCCUGAGGGGCUCAGUCGGUUGAGCGUCCAACUCUUGAUUUCGGCUCAGAUCAUGAUCUCACGGUUUGUGGGUUCAAGCCCC